This 178-nucleotide non-coding RNA is filed under the name Chloroflexota bacterium. Its description in RNAcentral is "Chloroflexi bacterium (marine metagenome) 6S RNA". It matches the Rfam family "6S / SsrS RNA". Rfam says of the family: E. coli 6S RNA was the first non coding RNA to be sequenced, but its function was unknown until recently. It consists of 184 nucleotides that fold into an extended hairpin structure with a large single-stranded internal bulge. Lineage: Bacteria; Bacillati; Chloroflexota. The record is from RNAcentral.
AUGAUCCUGCCGUGUGCGUGAGACCGAAAUGGGGUUUUGAGCCAACACUUUAACAAAAUGGGAGCCUAAGGUCCUGGACAAGGAUGCGGUAGCCUUCGGGCAAGGCAGAAUUGUCCGGCAGGCGCCCACCUGCGUGAGCAGGGUCAAAACCAACGGUACACGGCACGGCGGGGACUGA